UUGGAGGGCAAGUCUGGUGCCAGCAGCCGCGGUAAUUCCAGCUCCAAUAGCGUAUAUUAAAGUUGUUGCAGUUAAAAAGCUCGUAGUUGAAUUUCGGGAUCAAUGUUUCGGUCAUGCCGUUGGUAUGUACUGAUAUUAUUGAUUUCUCACCUUCUAAAGAACCGUAAUGCCAUUAAUUUGGUGUCACGGGGAAUUAGGACUGUUACCUUGAAAAAAUUAGAGUGUUUAAAGCAGGCUCACGCUUGAAUACAUUAGCAUGGAAUAAUGAAAUAGGACAUCCGAUUCUAUUUUGUUGGUUUCUAGGAUCGAUGUAAUGAUUAAUAGGGAUAGUUGGGGGCAUUAGUAUUCAAUUGUCAGAGGUGAAAUUCUUGGAUUUAUUGAAGACUAACUACUGCGAAAGCAUUUGCCAAGGAUGUUUUCAUUAAUCAAGAACGAAAGUUAGGGGAUCGAAGACGACCAGAUACCGUCGUAGUCUUAACCAUAAACUAUGCCGACUAGGGAUCGGAUGAUGUUAAUUUUUUAAUGACUCAUUCGGCGCCUUACGGGAAACCAAAGUGUUUGGGUUC
This 566-nucleotide ribosomal RNA is filed under the name uncultured Glomeromycotina. RNAcentral describes it as "SSU rRNA". It matches the Rfam family "Eukaryotic small subunit ribosomal RNA", at positions 548 to 1114 of the family's 1831-position model. The record is from RNAcentral. Lineage: Eukaryota; Fungi; Glomeromycota.